This 36826-nucleotide long non-coding RNA is filed under the name Setaria viridis. RNAcentral's name for it is "long non-coding RNA (SVIR_LNC002252)". The record is from RNAcentral. Lineage: Eukaryota; Viridiplantae; Streptophyta; Magnoliopsida; Poales; Poaceae.
UUUUUUUUUUUUGUGUGUGUGUGGGUGCAUCAAACUAAAGGUGAAGGAGAUGAUAGCCAAGAACUCAAGGCAAGCACCAGUGUAUGUAUGUUUCCCGAACAUUUCCAACUCAAUUCAUUGCUCAUCGAAGUCAUUUCAUUGGCAGUGUCAAGUGCUAUCAGUAGGUCAACACAAGUUCCAUCGCCGAGCGGGGAUCUUUUGUUCUUUAUUUUAACGAAUCAGCAAGGGAUUGUGCUUUAUGGGGCCGCCUAUUGACUAGGCAUUUCAGGAAAGAAGCCUCAGGUGAAUGGGAUUCUAAUUGUGUAGUCGAAGAAUUAGAUGCAUAUUUGCAGAUAAAAAGAUCGUGAUUGGACUUGGGAAGAAGUCGGACCGUGAAAUGGAGAUAAUUAGAAUGUGUUUUCAAUUUUAUAAACGUAGCGAAAAGAAGGUGGUGACCGCCCGGUAGAUACAAUAAUCAAGAAAGGUAGCACUUUCUAAUUAUGGAACGACUUCUAGUUCUUAUCACAUUAGUUGUGGUUUUGUGAAGUUUUACUCCUGGUUGUAUACCUUACGGAGAAAAGAAAAGGGAGUUGACCUUGCUGGAGGUGUUUCUUGACAUGGUACUUUCCGACACAAUGUGCCAGCCCAUUGGAUGCCUGAUUGUCUUGCGGAGAGAAUAAUGAAGCGAUUCUUUCAACGGCAUAUGAGGAUUUAUUGUUCUAAUUCGUUUCUUCAUCCAUCAUUUUUGAACAAUGGGAUUAAUGGCAUCCACAAAGAUUGGUAGUAUAUACAUACAGCUUGAUUUGAGGAGGCGCAAUUGCAUACCAUCUCCUUCGGAGCAAAGCUGACCGUGAGGGAAAGAAAGAAAAAGUGAACUCUCCUCAUCAGCUCGAAAUGAUAUGUUGGGGAUCGAGAUUCCAUUGUGCUGCAUCAUGUGUUCUUGUAUGGUUCAUUUAGCUAAUGUCUUGCCUGCCAUGUUAGGGCCAAAUUAUUGAAAAUCUUGUAUGAUAAGUUCCGCUUUUGAUUUCUCUAAAGAAAGCUCUUGCUUUCGUUUCCCUCUCUUUGAAAAGAAAAUUAUUCUGUUUCGGGAAAAAGGGAAAGAUUUCUGUUCAUGAAAAUGAGGUUUGCUGUUCAAAUGACAAGAUAAAGUUCAAUCAUGGAUCGAGGACACGUCCUUAAUACUGUAGUUAGUUACACUUAAUUCAGCAAAUCUAGGCAAGCUCAAUGUGAAUAAGAUAUAUAUCAUAUAGAAGAAUUGCAUCUGGUAUAUUUGUUGGAGAACAAUAGUUCCUUUACUAAUGCUAAGCAUAAGUCAGGAAUGGUCUUUCAGGAAAAAAAAUUAAGUCAGAAAUGCGGUGGAUAAGAAGAUAAAAAAAAAUUGCAGCGACACCAUUCCGGCAGUGUGAUACUUAGUUUCUUUCGAACGGCGUAGUGCCGGAGGCUGCUAUGCCAAAUGGCCAAAUCCCCUGUUCUUAAACAAUGAUCUCCAUAACCGUUAGUGACCCGAGCUGGGAGCACAUGCAACAUGCUGCUCACAAGAAAAAGUUUCACGGCGGCUGCCUCCAACCCACUGCUACUAGGCCUCAAAUCUGCUCGUGCUGGUGCUGUAAUGUAUUAUAGUACACAGCAUCUGCGAUUGGGGUUUUGGAUUGGAUGAACACAAGCUCCCCUUUUUGCUAAAUCCUGUGCACAAUCCACAUGUGCCGAUACAGUUUUCAUGGACGAUUGCAAGACCAAGCAACAGUUGAGAAUACAUGCGGGUGUUGGCGGCUGAACUGUUUGUGACCAGGAUUCAGCAAGAAAAAUCACUUGCUUUUUCGGCGAGGGAAUACAUGCAUUGGGGAUUAGCAGGGAUUAAGCAGAAGAUCCAGACGAAAAGGCACAUGAUCCGUGACCUAAAACCUGCAAUACAGAUCGGAGAAAGUGAGAGCAGCAAUGGGGGCAGUCAAAUCACAGGCAUCGGCGACAAAGUGGUACGCUGAGUUCAGAGAGGAGACGAAAUUCAUCACCAGACGGGACUAGUCGUCACCGGCAUUGGCCACAAGUUGCAACAAACGGCUUUGUGGUGUGAUGACAAUUUCAACACUUCCUAUUCCUCUCUGAGUAGGGAUUUGUAAACAUAUUUUUUUCUCACAAAAAUCUGAAGAUAUCUAGCGAGAAUCCAAAUCGCACUAGUACAAGAUUUUUCACGCAUAGAAAAACUUUACAUAAAUAUAGGAUCCCCUGAAAAAUCAUCCAAAAUUCAUGCCUGCAUUGAAAAACGGGGCUGACACUGCCAAGUGCCAACACAUGGUACCGUAGCGUUGAUUAGUCAGAGUGGUACACCAAAGACCCAACCAGAAGCAGAAAGGCAAGCGGCCGGGACGUCUAAAUGGCACGCAAGUCCAAUCCUGCGCGUCCCGUCCGACCACGGACGGCGGUGCGCCUGGGACUUGACGGGCGAAGCACGCACGCCCCGGCCAGCUCGAUCGUACGACGACGCUGGCCGGCCGGAUUUGCCACCGCUGGGGUCGCGUAACCGGGGCCGGCAGCGCCACGCCCCCGCGGCCACAUCGGUGCCGGCCACACGGGAGGAGCACCGGCCACCUGCGCGCGCGCCGGCGCCGCCCGCCAACCGCGGCGCGAAACGUCGCCGCGCCCACCCGGCCGAUGGCGACGCGGGCCGUCGCGUCCUGCGCCUCGCCUGGACGCCUCGCCCCGCGCGCCUUUUCGGCGACCCAACCGGAGAGCAGUGGUCUCGUAGCAACGUCUCCUUUGCUCCCAUUCGCUACUGAUGGCGCACGCGUGCGGCGGGGUUGAGAUGAUCCACUGAUGUGAGUGAGGUUCUCCAUGUCAGGGUGUCACCCCACCACGGAAGAAAGAUGUGGCGUACGGGCACGAAAAAUUUUGGGUCUCCAAGUCGUUUACUAGGAUUCUAGGAAGGAUGAUGACGAAGAGGGAUAUGUGCUUUGGUAAACCAUGGCUUCUCUGACUAAAAUCUCGCAUGCAUGUGUGGUGUAAACAUGCUGAUGCGUUUUUCUCUGCGGUCUGUUUUUCCGACCAUGUCUAUCAUAAUGAUAAAUGGAAUGCUCCUACAUCUCUUUGUAGCUAACCAGUGUUAGAAUAGAGAUUUACAAGAAUUUGUCCGUGAACCCGUGAUCUUGUAGCUGCCGAGUUUCAUAGAACACUCUCUGCCUCCAAUGCAACUGCAGAGAAAAAGAAAAUGUUUCACCAUGCGCAUAUACUCAUGUGCAAGUUGUGUUUGUUCAUCAUUAGCCUUUUCUCUAGAAGUUGCGCACUUGCGCAUGAACAUCUCUUUCUUGGCAUAAAGCACAACUCUACUCACAUCUGCUCAGAUCAUUCCCCAGUUUAGAUGCCUUUUAAUUGUGUUGAGUAUUAUAUUUAGUUAUUCAUCCUAGUGAACUCCCCUCUCAUUGGACUAAUGUGGAUAAGCCAUAAUCAUAUCUCUCUUUUCUCUCGUGCACACAAGCGCAUCUCAAUUCGUAGGACCUAAUUAAUUAAGCAACAAGCAUUACAAAGACAUGCCUAAUCGAAUCUUCUUAUAAAAUGUUUUAAGGAGAUCGAUUUCACAAGGAACCUACACAUUUGGAUUUGAGUCCUAGAUUCAUUGUGAGUGUUUGGAUCUUUCUAUAUUUAUUUCAAAAAUUAAAACCAUAUAUCACUGAAUUGAGUGUCUACUUUGUUGGUUUCUUAUGUACGUAGCGAACGCUAUUCUUAUUUUUUUUCUUGUAGUAGACAACAUACCCAUUGAUAAUGAAAUGCAUAUGGUGAUCUUGUCAAUCUCAAGAUCAACUGCACCAGUCUUUGGAGGUGGUCAUAUGAGUGAGCAUGCGCACGUAUGCAAACAUUUGGGUUCGUGCUGUGUUUGGGGAAAAAGUAUGACCCAUAUAAAACAAACUUUUGCGGUUAUUUUACAAAGAAAGUAACCUAGGGAAUAGAACAGAUAUGAUUAGGACAAUUACAAACAUAGUGGCUGCUGCCGAGAAAAAUGACAAGGUUGGUAGAUUGGUUGCUGCCACGAAAAAGGAGUCUCUAGUGUCAACAAAACCUUGACGCCUAAGAUUAGGCCAAAACAACGGCACGCAAAAGUUGGGUCGCACCCUCGAGGUGAUGCAAACAAACUUUGGCACGCAUGUUAAAGUCUGCUUACGCAUCUACUUUCAAUUAAUUAAGCUUACAACAACUAAGGUCGUGACGCACUAGCAGCAAUGCGCGGGGGUGACGAGGAUAACGAAGGCCAUUAGGGCAGGGCAGGGGAAAACUUCUUCUAUCGCCACAACAUCCAGAGACCAAAUUAAUAGAUGCCAUGCCGUCCUAAACCAAAAAUGUGUGCGACCAAACUUUUGAAACUUCAGUCAAUAUUAUCUACUACUUACUACUAUAUGUAAGUGCUAGUUACGAGAAUUGCAUCGACAGAUUCGCCGUAACCAUAUUUUUCUCAUCUUACUGGUUUGCAAAAUGUAAUAGCCAUAAUGUUCAUGGGUGUCCAUUCUGAGUCCAAGUAAAUCGGCCCAGAUGCAGCACUAAUCAAAUGGCGAGGACCCAACAAAGGCAACUUACGUUGGUCUCAUGGCGACUAGAAGAGGGGCCGUGUCGCCAUCGCCCCCGUCGCCACUCGCUGUCAAGCUGCUGACGCCGGGGCAGUCGCCGUCGCCUUUGCGGGGGCACUCUGACGCCGGCGCGCGACGCUUUCAGGUGUCGCGCACGCAACGAGGCGCCUCUUACGCAGGGGGGCGCCUUUUCGCGUGGGUUUCGACUAGUUUUUCUCCCGAAUUCUGGCCAGCGUGCGGCUUUGCGGGCUACGCCCUGUUGUUUAUGGUAGCCGGAUUUGUUUGUGUUUAAAUUAGCUCGCUUGAUUUUGCUUGACGUGGAGAAUAGUGCGGGAACACAGGUGGUGAUCGUCGGAAAGCUGUGAGAAAACUGGGCGAGAAAAGGCGCCUGAAUGGUCGUCCGAACUCCAAAGGGCGCAGUUCAUGGCAUGGAUUGGAUAAUUGUUGCGGUUCGCCAUUAGCGCAUACUAAUAUUGAAGCGUGGUGCUUCGUUCGUCUUAGUGCCAGCUAUGGGCGUGUCUCUUAAUUUGUCGUCCUAAUCUCGUAGCUAGAAGCACGUGUCUACUACACGAAGAAAGACAUCAUAUAUGAUAUGGACAUAUGGCUCAUCUCCCCAUCGAUGGCUCGUUUGUCGAUCAUGCUAGACAUUGUAUAUGUACCUACGUGGAGUGGAAGCCAGUGCACCUAACCUGUGGCCUGUGAAGCUUGCACUCUCGUCUCCGUUUCUGGAACGGACUUGUUUUCUUGAUUCCAGCAUGCAUAAGUAAAUGGUUCUCGACUUCUCAUGUCAAACUUCUUCGUUCCAACCAUGUCCACCGUCACAUUUAUAGCAUUACUACAAUUUUUGCAUACCGUUAACUAAGGACCUGCUCCAUGUUUCAUCCUUUGGCUAUAGAAAAGGUUCUUCAGAUGGAACUGUAAGAAAAUGUUCUCCACAGGGCCUUAAAAAGUUAAUAUGAAUUCUCCAUGAGUGGUAAGCACGUUUUUCUUUAUCUGACAGUAUUGAAGUUUGGUCCUUGUCUCAAACUCUCAAGUUCAUGCGAAUGGAAGAACAGCUCUAAGGUCCGGUCCACUCUGUUUCGCUCACUGGGACCUAUUUUUUCUGGACCUGAGAGCCCAAUGCGGCUGAACUUAAGCAACAUUCGGUCGGUCCUAGUACUACAGUUGGGCCUCAACAAGGUGAUCUGGGCCGGAACAACAGAAUCCCACUUGGCCACUUCCACCUCAUCCGCUGCACGACGCACGUCGGCCUCCUCGUGCCGGUGCCGUGCGCCCCCUCGCCGGCCGGGCGCGACCCAAUCGCCGCCCGCCGCGAGCUCCUCCCCCGCACACACUCCGCUGUCCAAAGCAAUGCCUCCCCCAACUGUCCCCUUCUUCCUAACCUCCACCACGCUCGCCACCACUACGAAAAAACCGCAGCCGCAAGCGCAACCGCCGCCGCCGCCAUGCGACGCGGAAGCCCAGGCCUCCGCCUCCACCUCCCACGCCUCGGCGGCGUCCGCGUCGUACGCCGCGCGCAUGCGGCUCAACCCGCACCUCGCGCUCCCCCUGUUCGACCACCUCCUCCGCUCAGGCGCCGACCCGGACCCCGCCGCGUACGCGCUCGCGCUCGCGUGCUGCGCGCGCGGGAGGGACCGCGCCGCGGCCGCGCAGCUCCACGCGCACGCCGCCAAGCGCGGGAUCGUCGCCUCCCACCGCCGCGUGCGCGGCAGGCUCGUCCACGCCUACGCCGUCUGCGGGAUGCUCCCCCACGCGCGCAGGGUGUUCGACGGCGGGACCGACAACGACAUGUUCGCCUGGAACUGCCUGCUGCGCGGGUACGCUCAGGAGGGUGGGGACGCGGACGCGCUCCGCGAUUUCUUUGCCAGGAUGCCGUUCCGGGACAGCAUCUCGUGGAACACAGUCCUUUCGUGGUGCGUCGCCAAUGGUGAGUACGAUGAGGCAAUCGCGGUGUUCCGGGAGAUGCUGGCGAGCCAGGAGUGCCAGCCUGACAGGGUGACAUUAGUGAGCGUUGUCUCGGCAAUCGCGUACUUGGGGGCACUCGCUUUGGGGCUGUGGGCGCAUGCAUAUGUCAUCAGGAAAGGGGUUGAAGUCGAGGAGAAAUUGAGCUCGGCAUUGAUAAACAUGUACUCAAAAUGCGGGUUCAUUGAGGGUGCAGUUUAUGUGUUUGAGAACGCUGGAGAAAAGAUGAGCUUGGAUACUUGGAAUGCAAUGUUAGCUGGUUUCACAGCGAAUGGUUGCAGUGCAAGGGCUCUGGAGCUCUUCACCAGGAUGGAGUCAAAAGGACUGGUGCCUAACAAGAUUACAUUUAACAGUGUACUGAAUGCUUGUAGCCACGGGGGGUUUGUGCAGGAAGGUAUACGGCAUUUCAAGAGAAUGUUCAAAGUUUAUGGUAUUGAGCCUGACAUUGCACAUUAUGGUUGCAUGGUGGAUCUGUUCUCCCGUGCAGGGAUGUUUGAGAAAGCUGAGGAGAUCAUCCAGAUAAUGCCAAUGGAGCCAGAUGCUUCUAUGUUGAAGGCCCUAUUGGCUGCUUGUAGAACUCAUAAGAACUUAGAGUUGGGAAAAAAGGCUGGCCAUAGGCUUAUUGAGGCUGCCCCAAAUGAUCACGCAGGGUAUGUGUUGCUAUCCAACAUAUAUGCACUGGAUGGCAACUGGGGAGGAGUGCAUAAAGUGAGGAAGCUUAUGUUGGAUCGCGGUGUGCUGAAGAUCCCUGGGAGCAGUUCGGUGGAACUUAAUGGCGUAAUUCAUGAGUUCAUUUCCGGAGAUAAAUGAGAUUUGUCAACAGCUUAAAAAUACAGGAUUUACUCCUGACACUUCACAAGUGCUGCUAGAUAUUGAUGAUGAAGAUGUGAAAGAGAGCUCGCUAGCUCUUCAUAGUAAGAAGCUUGCGAUAGCCUUUGGGCUGACCAGCACUGCUCCUGGCACGCCUAUUAGAGUAGUAAAUAACCUCCGGAUCUGCGGAGAUUGUCAUAAUGCCAUAAAACUUCUAAGCGAGAUUUACGGGAGGAGCAUAAUUGUUAGAGAUGCAAAUCGAUUUCAUCAUUUCAGAGAAGGGUCUUGUUCUUGCGGGGAUUACUGGUAAUAUUUUGAUUGCAAUGAUGUUCCUUUAUUUUUACUUAUUACACUGAAAUGUAUAGUAUAUGAGACAACUGUUGCCAAUGGUUAUUAUUGACCAUUUGAGAAGAAUUGUUAAUGUGCCAUGAAGCUCAUGACUUUAUUGCAUGUCUAUUGAAUACUAUGGUACCCUUGACCCAACAACAUGAUUGACAUCUCUUAUGUCUCAGCAACUUGAAACCUAAUUAUUGUCCUUUUCAGUCAGCAUGAUUCAAAACUGAACAUGAACCUGAGAUGUAUGUCCUACGCAAAAGUGUCAUUAAAUUCAGAUAAAUUUAGCUUCUUUCAUAUGGUAGGGACUCAGAACCAUCAAUUGCCUGAUACAUACUUAAUGCUGUUUUUCCUACUGUACUACUGUCAUUACACAGUUCAGUUUGUGGGUGGCCACUUCACAUGAACUUGCAUUUGAAAGAGAAACACAUAGGAGAGGCGUUAGGGCCAACUAGGCCUGUAGCUUUCCUUUUGAGGCAGUAUGGUUCAUUUUAGUUUCUGUCUGGCAAGGAGGGCAACUAUACUUUAAUUCAACCAGUUAGCUUUUAUCAUUUUUUUAAUCACACAUAAGAUUCAUCUACCUGGUUGUACAUUUCUAUUUUUGCACAUAUGAUUCAUUAAGUGUUUAAAUCUUUAUUUGCACAUUAUUGCCACUCACUACCACUACAUUGACUCUGUAGAAGGGUUGCAUAGCAUUAUUAUAUCAUUUAAUAGGUAUGUAUGGUCCAGUGCCUUUAAAUAUUUCAUAGUGCCUCCUUGGUUUGUAUGCAUGUUAGGCUUGGUCAAAUUUUUUGAAAUGGAAUUAUAGAUCACAAUAAAGGGCAGGAGCAAAGUGGGAUUUAGCUGUCCCAUGGGCUACACCCUUCACAUGCUUUGGUAAAGGCACGAUAGAUACAAUGGACUUGCUGUUUUCUUCUUCCUUAACUGUGAAAUUCAUGUGCUAUUAAUGUUUUUUAUUGAAUAUGUGCUAGAAAUGUUAUAUUUCUGAUAUGGCAAUUACCUCCAGUACUGCUGUUCAAUAUUUCACUUGCAUCUUUCCAAAAAAAAAAAAACUAUUUCACUUGCUGCCCUGCUGUUGAUUUCGAAAGAGACAAAGCGUUCUGCACAAGAAAUUAUAGCAGUUAUUAAACUGAGCAAAAGUAAAGACUGUUAUUUGUGAUAAGGACAGAUCAACAAUGUUGUGCAGAGUAAUCACUUCCACCGUGCUGUUGUUAUUACUGCCUGUUGGAUGUAGGGGGGCCUUUGUUUGAACAUAAAGACGAAGAGACACCUUUUAUACAAAUGCAUGCUUAUCAGCCAUUUUCAAGCACAGAUGCUGUCAAAUUUGAACAUAUGUGCUAUUCUUUUCUGUGUUGAAUCGUCAAGAUAAGGAGGAAUCAUCACAUUUUAUGUUUGCUACUGCUUUAGAGGUAGCACUGAACCCAGAGGGCCAUAAGAUUUAAAUCUAAUAAGUAACCCUGUUCCUUUUUAAACAAAAUAUCUGUAGACUUAUUAGAGAAGACCAAGCAAACUUGGUAGUUCUACGUGAAGUAUCAUGGACAACAGCACUUGUUCAGUUGGAUAAUUUGCACUCUAGUUAUUUGAUACAUUGAAAUAGGCACCAAAAAAGCAAAGACUACUAUAGUGAGUGUCCAGAUCUAGUACAAUAUGUCUGUGAACUUUUUUUUCUUCGCACACAAGGCAACAAACACACGCAUGCAUACACAGAUGCGCACGCACAUAAUGUUAUAUGAUAUACAGUCGAAUUGCCCUAGCUCCAUGCCAAUCAUUAACAGGUUGGCCUUGACAAAAUAAGCAGGCUGCUGCCCUUAUCAACUCUAUUACUUUAUUUCCCCUCUCGGGGAUAGUUCUUUAGUGUUCCCCAGAUAUGUAUUUUGCAGUUUAAUCUCUAGCUUACAGCUCUAAUCACUACUCUAGGAGUAUAAUAAGACCAUUAGCGUACGACAUAAUGCAUAAUUAGGGUUUAGAAUAAUGGGUAAUUUCCAAGUCUUGGUUCGGAUGAUCAUAACUCCCCCAAGGUUACACCUAACAUAGACCUUUACCAAAAAUAUACUCACUUGCAUCUCGCGUGCAGCUGGCUUUGCCACGGACUGUGCUUUGUUUAUGGUUUUCAGAAAGGUGUGGCAUACGCUUUCCUAAGCAUAAUUAGAGAUCCUGUACCCUAUGCACAUGGGAAUCGAACACUGAAUUAGCACACAGUGUGUGUACUCGCGUCGUUCAGAUAUUAUGGUCUAGCUUGUACUACAAUCGAAUCAUCCAUGUUCAACUCUCAUCAUUCACUCUUGGUAAUGAUCCCAUUAAGACUGCUUUUGUGUUCUUUGCUUAUCGAUGCAUCUCUCUAGUAACUGUAUGCACAAACUUUUGAAGCAUGUACAAAUUAUGGUAGGCGUGGUGGAUUUGGUCUGAUCAUUCUGUUUUACUUUAGAGAAGCUUAGCCUGUCCUAUCAGAACCCUUUCUGUUCUCCUCUGGAUCUUAGAUUAUUAGCGUUUAUAUUCUGAUUCAAAACCCCAAAUCAUUUGUUGGUAUGCUCUUCUGAUGAUUCCCAAGUUUUGAAGGGUGCCAGUGCAGUUUAUUGCAGCGAAGAAAAGGAACAUCUCUGAAGCUGUUAAGCAGGAGGACAGUCUACACAGGGAGCAGGGUCUGCGGGAUGAACGAAUCCGAUGUCGAAAAUCUUAUCUUCAUAUAGCAUGGGUUGUGUUUUUUUACCUUUAGACUUACUACCCCAAAAGAGACGAUUGCCAGCUAAUCCAAUGCAGGCACUGCUCCAUUUGUUUACUUUGAGUUCUUUGGCUGCUAUUUCUUGGAGCUGUUUUGUUUGCAGGAAUCCUCUGACUUCGCUAGCCCCUGAUGUCCCAGUGCCGACAGGUAGGGCCCUAGCGGCACAAGAAGUCUCAUCAAUAUCAACAUUGUGUAUCCUGUAACUAUGAUUUUCUUCUUCCCUCCUCCUGAAGAGUGAGUGAAGGAAAAAAAAUAUGAAUAUGACGGUCGCUCUCUUAUUUUUCAGCUCGGCCUCAGCUCCUGUACGUUGCCAGCAUCCAGCAAGCUCUGAGCACUGAGCUGAUAUCAUCCUGCCCUCGCAUUAUCCGGUUUCCGCUGCUGCAGGCGAUGUGAUGCGAGCGCCCAAGCAUAUGGUACACACGAAUAUGCACGGCAAUGAUUGGGAAAGAAGACACAGAUCUGUGGCAACCUUUCUGGCGAGCAUAAUGAUGCGCGAGAAGAUAAUCUGGCGGGUGGUCGGGGCCCCUUCCCCCAUCCCUCAAUGACUGCACGAGCCGAGCCCGCCCCGGAGCGGCAACGGUGAAUGCGCCGCGCCGAGGCCGGCCGCCGCUGCUGUGCACGGAGCCGUGCAAAAGGAGCGCGGCAAGCCGGCAACUGGUCAUGGCUCGCGAAGGCGACGCGUAUGCCGUCUUCUUCCCGGUGAGGUCAAGAAAGCUGGAUGGCCGUGGCUAGUAAUCUACCAAGACUUGUUAUCCACGUAGCCGGCCUGUGGUCCAUUCCAUGGUCCAUUUCCUGGUGAGUUUGAAGUCCUAUCCUUUGCAGUCCUUAGUUUACAUUUCUCCCAAGAUUCGGUUUCGUUUGCUUUCCCUGCUACCGCUUUAAGAGCGAGCAGCUUGGCGAGGGCGCCACUAAUGUUUAGGCAGGAGAAAAGGCAGCUGCUGGGAGACGAGAUGGUGGGAGGACGACGAGGCUGCAGCUGCAGCAGCAGCUGUGAUGGUGCUGAAAGAAAGGUAAAGCGGGCAGGGGAAUAACGAGUAACUUGCAGGCCACUUCUCGCGGUGUUUUAGUGAGCAUGGAGGGUAGAUUUGUGAGGGGUCCUGGUGCUUUUCUUCAGAAACCCUGGAUUUAAAAGCUUAAUGGAGGGGGGCAAAAGCGUGUUUGGAGUGAAUAAAAGUAUUGCAUGGGCGGGGGUGGCUUUAACUAAUCUAAAGCUAGAUUCGAGCUCGCGCGCGCCCCGAGGCUAACGAAUAGUUUUAACUUGUUUAUUUGCCGCCAAAGAAAGAUUGAGAUUAGGAGAAUCUGAACCCCAUCUCUUUCAGCUGUGCCUGAAGCUCGGCACUAAGCUAAGGCUUACAGUUUCCGGUUGGUCUGCCCCUGCUUACAAAACUCGAAAUCCUGCUUGUUUGCGACUGAAUUUCACAUCCAACUGUUAAGAGAGUGGCCUGACCUGAAGAUAAGAUUAGUGGGGAAAAUGUGAAAGAAAAGGGGGUGGGGAGUUUCGUGUGGGUGAAAUGAAAGUAGGUUUGCUUUGCUGUUGGGGUAAGUAGCUAAUGCCUCGAUCGGCACCCCCUGCUACUGUUGACCACCAUUUUCUUCAACAAAACUAAUCAUGCCGAUCACGAAGGGCGUGUAAAUAAUUCUCCGUGCCGGGCAUAAAAAAACUGCAACAGUCAAAUAAUGAUUCGGGUGGCAUAAUUUACAGCCAGGCGCCUUGAGGAAAGCGAGCGGUUGGCGCCCAUAAACAAAUGCCCGUGAGGGUUGGCACUGUCAGGGAUGCCGGGAUGGCAAUGCUCCUCGUUGCUCUACGCUGCUGUGAAGAACUCUCGAUCGGCUCAGCUCAGCUCCCCUUCCUCUUUACGCUUGCUCUCUCUCUCUCUGAUGUGUAUGGAGUAAGUAAACAAAAGCAAAGGUAAACAGCAUGAUUAAAGGGCUGUUAACAAAGAUAAAGGCGAGGCCGCCAGGGGCACUUAAAAAUAAGCUCCAUCAAGGGUUAAACAACACCGGCCAUGGUGGUGGUGAUUAGGAGGAGUGUAAAGCGGCUGCCUGCAGCUGCAACAUCGCCUUGCCUGCCCGCUGUAAUCAAUCCCUGUGCCUGUGGCUCGCCGUGUACUACCCAGUGCCCACUACUGGUGAAACUACAAGAGCUAGUGAACAAUUGCUAGUAGCCCUAUAAGUCUGACAAGCCUUUGCCUACAACCUCUCUCUCUCUCUCUCUCUCUCUCUCUCUCUCUCUCUCUCUCUCUUCUUAUAUAGUCUAGGCUCUCCCCUCUUUCGUAGCUCUUCUUCCUAUGCCUCCUCGCCGGAACAGAUAGCAUCAGAAUCUCCAGUGCCCGGCCAUCUUUCCUUUUCCUGCCAUAGGCCGUGACGAGAGCUUCUUGCUUGCGUGCUUGCCCCGGCUAUCAUAUUGCCUGCCUACGCAGCCCUCUGGCCAAUGGAGGAGCUAGCUCUUCUUCUCUAGCCUUUCUCGUCUCCCAUUCGUCCAUUGACCGUGGGUGAGCUCUAUCUCUGUGCUAGCUGCUCGCUCGGGUACUCUACUCAAGUUGUGAGCAAGAUCAACCGAUGGACAUGAACGAGAGCGGCGAGAAAGGGAUGGAGGGCAACGCGUCCUCCGCCGGCGCCGGCAUCCCGGUGGAGUGGCAGACCCAAUUCAGCGCCGCCGCCUUUGCGUGCCCUCAGGCACAGCAGCAUCAGGGCCCCAUGAUGGACUCCGCGUUCGCGACCGCCGGCAUGUGGGCGUCCACCUCCCAGGCCAUGGUGCUCUCCGACGUCGGCGGCGCCAUGUCCGCCACGCGGGGCGGCGGCGGCUUCUUGGCGCCGGUGCCCGGGUUCCUCCCGCAGGGCCUCGGCCAUUUCCCCGUCGACUCCGGCUUCAUCGAGCGCGCCGCGCGGGCGUCCUGCUUCGGCGGCGGCGGCGGCGGCGGGGUGAUGGGCGGCGCCGGCUUCGGCGCGGCUGAUCAGCACAUGAACGGCGCGUUCAGUGGCUCCUCCGAGGCGCUCCUGGAUCACCAGAGGAAGGACGGCAACGAGAAGGGCGAGCCGGAGCUCGGCCGGAACGGCCACGACGGGGUGCCGAGCUCGGAGGCCGCCGGAGGGGACUGCUCGUCCAAAGGGACGUCGGACUCCAAGAAGAGGAGAAGGCCAAACGAGGUGAGCACUGUUCUUGCUUCCCGUGUCUGAAACCUUUCUACCGUCAUUAUUUGAAAAGUCUAUCGACUCGAGUAGCCAAGUUAAUUAACUGGUGAACGAACUAGAUGUUAAACUGAUGGAUGCAUCUCUCUGUGUUCUGUCUGAUGAAAGGUGAUGGGAGGCGAUCAGGUUCAAUCCUCCAACCUGCCCGCGGAUUCGGCAAACGAGAGCGUGCACAGCAAGGACAAAGGCGAGGAGAGCAGCCCGGCAACAACCACCGGCAAGUCGAAAGGGAAGGGGGCGAAAGAGACCUCCGAGUCCCAGAAGGAAGACUACAUCCAUGUCCGGGCUCGGCGCGGACAGGCGACCAACAGCCACAGCCUUGCAGAAAGGGUACGGACUCGAUCACCGGUUGGCACCCCAGUGUUCACCGUUUGGUGUGCAGCUUUUGAUGCGCCCUGAAAUUGACAUGGCUGGUUCUGAAAACUCAUCUUUUCCUGCAGUUGAGAAGGGAGAAGAUUAGCGAGAGGAUGAAGCUUCUGCAGGACCUUGUUCCCGGCUGCAGCAAAGUAAGUCGUUCUAGGGAAACGAAGUUGUGUAUUACUAUGUGUUUACAUAACAAUUCUAACAAGUUUAUGUUUCAUGAACUGAAUUCAGGUCACUGGGAAGGCGGUGAUGCUUGACGAGAUCAUCAAUUAUGUUCAGUCCCUGCAAAGACAAGUUGAGGUAAUCAUUAACAUCCCCCUUGUUAUGUCAAAAUCUUCACAACUUUGUCUGAACUAAUUAAGGGUUUAGCUAUGGGCAGCGGUCACUAAAAAGGUAGUAAUCACUAGAUUUUCUUUAACUAAAAGUAAUCGCUAGAUAUUGAUACCUGAAUAUGAAUAAUAUUUCCUGUAACCGCGAUUGCUUACUGAUGGCAAAAAGCAAAAUAUUGAGCUCAUAUUUAUCUCGCAGUUCCUAUCGAUGAAGCUUGCGACAGUAAACCCAAGGCUUGACCUCAACAUAGAAGGGCUUCUGUCGAAAGAUGUAUGAUGCUUCUUGCAAUCUCAUUCUCCUUUGUUAAUUAUACAUACAAGAAUCUAACAAAGCCAGAUUUUUCUUCUCCUACCAUCAGCUUCUUCGCUUCCCUGGUGUCUCUUCAUCUUCCCUCGGAUUCUCCCCAGAGAUGAUCCACCCACAACUACAGCUAUCGCAACCAGGCCUGAUUCAGGGGGGCGCUGCUGGCAUGGCCAAUCCAGACGUGUUCAGGAGAAUCAUACAGGCACAGCUAAGUGCUAAAGACGGAUCUCAGGUUAGCAUCUUUCCAAAAUGAUUGUAGUGCACACAAUACUCUAUUCUUUCUUAAAAAUAUCAGCGCAGCCAACAGUAUUCACUUUAGUAUUCAGCUAGCAGUUGACAUAGCUCCUUAAGCUAUCAUGUAGCAACAUAAUUUUUCCCAAAGAUUGCACUUGACAGUCAACAGCCCUUUACAUAUCCAAUAAACUAGCUCAACACCUACAUACAGUACGCUCUUUGUAGUAAUAGACAAUCCAUAGAUUCCUCAAACACAAAGAGGCUCUCCUACUCAAAUGCUUCUCUAUUCUUGAGCAAGCUUGUGAGUUUGGCAGCAAAUUUUUGGGAAAUAUGAACAAUCUGAACUAGCAGUAAACACUCCUCCCAAGUUCAUCCAAGCACACACAGGCUGGCUAACUUUUCGUUUCCGAUUUCCUGGAGCAGAUGCCCCACGCAUUGAAUGGGCCGUUCAGUGACGUCGCGCAGAUGGGGUACCCGUCCCUGGGGUCGUCGGCACAGGACUUGAGCAUCAGGCCGUCGCAGGACGGGUUCCAAAUGUGACGCGCAGUCUGGCCCAGCUGCAUUGCACAUACUAAGAGCAAGGCUUUUUUUUUCCAUCUGAUCGACGAACAUGCAGGAGCGCAGGGGGGCACACAUAUAAACUGGCGCUGCUACUGCCGGAGCACAGCAGCAGCCUUUAACUGCGUCGUCGUCCACGGCCGGGUUUUUAUUGUGUUCAGAACUGAGAAGAGAUCGAGGAGGGAGGGAGCCCCCACGGGCGGAAGCAGCCAGCGCUGCGCUUGGGAGGGAAUCUGUGACGUUGCCGGGCUGGAUGGCUGGAAAUUCUGCCUCUGCUGGGGGUGGUAGCGCCCAUUAAUCAUGGCGCACAGUGCAGUAACAGUGGCUGCGUUUGUAGCGAGCAGAUGAGCUGGUGCUGCUUCUGUGUGUGUGUGGCAGGAUGUAAUGUGGGGAGCUUUUGGUUAUGUUCAUUCGGUUGCUUUUGUUUUGGAUGCUUCAUGGAUGCUAAACACUCCUAAAUGGGGGGCGACGUUUAUUAGUUAAAAGAUCAAAAUAUUUCGGUAAAUUGUGUUUGUAGUGCAAUGAAGGACGUACGCUAUAUCGUACUGCAUUCUCGUGCAUUUGUUCGUCCCAAAGUCAUAUGCGAAUCGUUGGCUUGUUUGGUUGGUUACAGGAUCUUCCCUCUUGUGGCGAGAUCAUCUUUCAUCACAGCUUAGGGGAAACGGUGGAUGCAUGACAGAUGAAAUGAACUGUAGGGAGAAGAAUAUGUGCCGGGUCACGACUAGGACAAGUUAAGAUCUUUCAUCUCAGUCUGGAGAGAGAGAGAGAUGAGCUCGUUCCCUCGAGACACAUAAUUAGCAUGAAGAAUCGUUCUCACCCCAACUUGCGACUGGUCACGCACAGUGAAACUUCUGUUCACUCUACAGCCGCCGCCGAUGUGGACAACCGACGCGACGCAGGCAAUAAAACAAGCGGUUUGGUAUAUUCUGCCGGUGUCGCCACGGUUCCAAGACAAGGCAACGCGCUGCUGCUCGGGCGGCCCCUUUGUAUCCGCCCGAGACGUGCCGGACCCCUGGGCGCGACGCCGUACGCUGGCGCGAUUCCGGCCGCGUGCGCCAUGCGGCCAGCUCGCUCGUGGGUUCGUGGGUGCGGGCUCCGGCGACCGCGACGACGGAUCGGACAAGCGUCUGAGCGUGCGCUCGUCGCGCACUCCGAUCGUGCUGCCGGUGGGAUUCGGCACGUUUCCUCUCCUCUGUAUGCCCGUCCCGCCCGAGCGUGUGCGGCGACCGAUAACUGAGCGGUUAGGCCGCCGGAUGGAGAGAAGCUGGGAAGGCGCGGAGAGGAGCGCGCGUUGGGCCGUUUCGGAGGCGAUCCCGGCAUCCCGCUCACGGCUCAUGGGCAGAAGUUUUUUUUCCGAACGGACGGCAAGAGAAUUGCCCUAAAUUUUAUUAGAAGAAGAGAACAAAAUAAGAGAGAGACAACUAGUGGCAAAAAGAAAAAACACCCCACAUGACUAAAAAAUUGGUACGAACACCCCACACGACUACGGACCGACACGACUAAAACACGAACAAACUAGCAAGAAGGAAGAAAACUAAGAAGAGGGUGGCGGUUCCAGCGAUCCUGAUGCUCGGGUUGCCAACUGAUAUUGGUAAAACUCUUCUCGAAUAAGGAAAGCCACAUCAUCCACUGGUUUGAAAGUUUUCUGUUGCGUUCCUUCUCCAAAUAUUCCACCAAAAGUAAAUAACGAAGCUAUCAAAAUGGAAUCUAUUUUCUUUGUUGAUAACGACUCGGCAUCUUUCCACUAUCUAUGUAUGGAGUUCGUGGAAUUUUCCCUUGGCAAAUGUUGUAGCUAGAACCAAUUGACUAGUCUCAACCACACUGCAACGGUGCAUGUACAAUUUUUGCACAAGUGUUUAGGCGUCUUGGGUUUUGUAUUGCAAAGUUUGCAUAUGGGAUCGUAGGGCCAUCAUCUUUUCUCUAGGUUGUCUGACGUUAAAAUUUUUCUAUGAAGAAGAAUCAUGCAAAAAUUCUACAUUUUGGUUCGCUUUCCAAAUUGGGGUAAUUAACAGUUUCUUUGUUUGCCCAGAGAAUUGUAUACGUUAUGCGCUCUUUGUAAUAAUUCACCAUCAGGUGUCUAUCACCAGAAUAUUUCAUCUUCAGCUUUAGGGUUGCGAUUUAGCGGGUGUAUCUCCUCCCAUAGGGUUGUGUACUCGCUCACCUCCUCUAUCGUCGUUAGUGGGCACACUUGUUAGAUCCAAUAAUUGUCUUGUAAAGCCUUCUGCACAAUAACGUUUUUCUUUUUGAUUUGUUGAAUAGGCAAUGCACUAUCUAUUUUGGUGCUCUCCCAUGGAUCCAACUUGAGUGCUAAAAAAUUGUUUAGCUGCCUCGGCACCCCACUUUAACCACCGUCGAGGCGUUCAAAAGAUCUUUAUCAUCCUUGUCACACGGGAUGUCCAAUCCAUUCCAUGCAUGGUCUUGAGUCAUGUUUCCAUUGGAACCAACACCAACGAAGUCUAAGUGUCUCGCUAACCUUUAUAAAUCAAGAAUUCCGAGUCCUCCUAUGUCUUUUGAUAUGCACACCAUUGGCCACUUGACUAAGCAAUGCAUUGACUUUCUAGUUCAUCUCCCUUCCAUAAGAAAUUCCUUCUCAUUCAGUCGAUUUGCUUUAUGAGCCACUUUUAUGCCGGGAACACUAUCACGUGGUAGAUUGGUUGAGCGGUUAAUACAGAUUUCACCAAGGUCUCUCCCUGCUGAAGAGAGAGAUUCCCCUUUCCAACCCGGCAGCCUACCGCCGAUUUUGUCGAGAAGUGGCUGAAUGUCAACCCUCCUAAGACGUCGGGUAUAUAAGGGAAAGCUUAGAUAUUUCCCUGGGAACAUGCAAAUCUUUCCAGGGAAAUCCACCAAAGCUUCUGUUUUGCUCAUGUUGAUUUGGAGUCCUGAACAAUUUCCAAAUAAAUCUAGCAGCUGGUUUACAUGUUGUAAUUCCCCUCGAUCUGGAUUUGCGAAUAAUGUCGCGUCAUCCGCAUAAAGUGAGCAACGCAAUUUUGCCACCCUCGGAAGAAUUUGCUUUAAAAAUUCUUUUCUAGCAGCUAGCUCAAUUAAUUUUUGAAGGGGAUCCAUGGCUAGUACGAAGAGCAUUGGCGAUCCCCUUGACGAAGACCUUUGGCAUAUUUAAUUUGUUUCCCUAGUAUUCCAUUUUUUUUUCCCAAAACCUAGAGCUUCUAAGGUUUCAAGGAGAAAAAUCUAUGAGUCAAAAGCCUUUGAGAUGUCUAACUUGAUGAACAGAGUUGUCCUUUUUGAUUUAUGCAAUGCCUUGAUCACACUUUGGACAUAGGUGAAAUUGUCAUGAAUACAACUUUUUUUGAUAAAACCAUUUUGACAUCCGGAGACUAGCUCUUUUAAUCUUGGUGCAAGCCUGGCCGCAAGGAUUUUUGUGAUUAUCUUGGCCAAACUGUUGAUAAGGCUUAUUGAUCAAAAACCUAAAAUGUUGAUUGCCUCAUCGGCAGAAGUGACCACGAACCAGAACCUGAGCGUCAAUGAGGUCGUCCUGCACGAGCAUAAUCGGGUUGACUCCACGGAUGUUGGUGCGUGGCGCGUCAAUAAAAUUCUCCUCGAAGACCAUGGCGGCCAUCAAGGCAGGUGAUGCCGACAACUACCCUGGUGGCCAGUUGUGCAUAAUUUGCCUACAAGUUCCGGAAGCUCGCUCAAAAACUAAGUGUUGAUCAAAUGGUCACAACCCUCUUCCAUUUCAUCGAAUGAAUUAUCCCAUUUAAGCAUAAAUUAUUGCGACACAUCAAUUCAAUGUCAUGACCAAGAAUACGCAAACAUCAACUAGAGUUUAGGACAUAUUUGAAACCUAGGUAUAUAAGAAACAAAAGAAUGAGUAGAAAUACAUGAAUGGGUAGGAACGAGGUUGCAAGAAAAAGUAAUAAACAACACAUGAAUAAUAGAAUAUUUGAAUAAUAAAUUAAUAUUAGUACAUUAAUGAUGAACAAAUUAAUAGAUAUUUACAAUUAUGCUUAUAGUAUUUAUUCUUUUGUGACUUACAUCUUGGCCCCAUCACCGUACAUGCGAUUAGCCGAUUACAACGCCAUGGCUUAGCUCAGUUUGUUUGAUAGAUCGAGCCGGGCUGAAUUUAACUGAACCUAUGAAUGAGCCCAGCCGGCUUAUGACCCUUGAGCUUUUUUACCUGUUCUAAAUGCUAAUGAGCUAUUGUGGAAAGUUUUCUACAAAGCUUAGAGCUAAUUUUCAUGUUUCUCCAUAAGUACAUGCACAAUUGUCGUUCCUUUGGAAAGUUUUGUGCCAAUUCCUUUGUUCCAAUCCGUGAGAGAGAAGAUAAUUCCUAUGGAAUGGGAUUCCUGUACAUUUCCUGCAUUCUUCCACCAAUACAAACAAGACCUUAAAAGAUUGUAAAAGGUAUAUAUAUCAUCAUCCCAUUCUGUUUAAAAAACUUCCGUACAAUUCAUGCAACUGGAACUGUAGAGCGUACCAAAUAUAAGCACAUCUAUUUCUAUUAGAAUAUAUUAGAAUUUCUCCAGAUAUAGUAAAUUAGGAUCAUUUUACUUGCCUUAGCGGAGGCCACUAGCCCCCUAAGCAAUAUAUUUCUAUAUAGUCUGUUCAUAAGGCUUCUAUUUUCUCACAUGAUUCUAGACCUCAAACUCUAAUCUUUCAUUGCUUGGUGUGCCCCUCUCAACAAAGGGCAGUGUGGCCUGUACCUAUGGCUCAUGCUGCCGGUCAUGUUGGUUGGCCAUCCUAUUGUGUUUUUUUUUCAAUAUGUUGACUGGGGUUUCUCCCUAAUCGUUCCAUGAUUGACCCGCCAUCCUCGCACGUCCCUAGAAAGCAUUUUCGACCCGCCAUAAGCCACUUAGCUCAAUGAACUUGGACUAGCUCGUGACACUUACGGCUAGGCUUGUGCACACAAUCACAUGCCCUAAAUAUUUUUGGGCAAUCUAAGUGCGUCUUGAAUUAUUUGUUUUCUCACUAAAAAAUAAUUGGAAGGUUGUGUCUGACCUGGAUCUAGUCUUGAAAACAGGGCUGCCUCUGCCCGUAGGACGGUUGUGAGCAUGAAUUUUAAGCCUAAAUCUAGUCUUUUUUUAGCCUAGUCCAACUUUUGCUCAGAUUUACGAACCCCUACCUCGAAUAGGCAUACUCCAACAGUCUCUUCCUCAUCUCUAAUUAUGCAGCAUGGUGCGCCCCACGACGCUUUAGAGGAUGCCCUCCUACACUGCCUCGAUGCUAUUUUGUUCGCAUGUUGAUCUACACUGGCCCAUCGUCUCCCGCUACCGAUCGGAGUUCCUACCAAAUUGCUUCCUCACCGGCAAAUCCUCCUUGUGUGGUGCGGCUCCCUCAUGUUGUGCUGCUCUGUGCUCCGAUCGACAGUUUUGGUAGGCCUAACCCAUGCUUUCUAUAACCUUGUGUGCCAUCGGUCUAUCCAACCGAGAGCCCGCGGUCCGCUUUAUCCUUUUGGCACACGAUCAGUCUAACCAACUUUGCCCCCGCACUUACAGGAACCUGUGAAGGUAGUCCCCAAGUACGAUGCGCUUCCUCUCUGAGCAUACAUCUGAACUCACACAUAAACAAUCCACAUACCUGUGAGUGUACCUCUUAUUUCUAUCACAACCUAUAAAUAAUUUUUUGUAUGUGCAUAAAUAGUAGACAACAUGAUUUGAAAUUUUGAAUCCAUGUGAAAGGAUUCGUAACUAUACAUAUACACUCACUAAGAGGUGGAUAUUAUAAGAAAACCAUAUAAAGCUUAAUACCUUUAAAUAUGCUUCUAGACAAAAGAUAUUAUCCUGAACAUAGUUGAAAGCUAUUAUAUAGCAUCAUGUAAUAGCCAAUACAAGCUAUAAGUGUGAGACUUUAUAAAAGGGUAGUCAUUUCAAUAUGAUAAACUAAGUCCAUUGCAUUGCUUGUAUAUAUAUUCUAUAUCUGAAGUUGUAAGACCUCUCUAUUUCUCUCAUGUACUAUCCUCGACAUGUUAAGUCACCUUUCUCCACAUAACAAAUAAUCAUGAAAAGACUUCAUGACAGCUUAGUCUUCACCAUUUUUUUUAGAAAAGCAAAUGCCGAGGGUUAAGGUUGAACGUCAUCAUACUUCCUCCAUAUACAAAAAGUAAUACUUUGUGCUAACGUGUUCAUUGACGGAACCCCUGGCCAUUCAAAAAUUAUUUUUAUCUUUUGAAUGAAUGACAAAGUAGAGAACAACAAAUGUCUUUCAUAUAUUAAUAUUUUAUUUUAAAUGUAAAAUAUUAAAAUGACAUAUAUUUAGCAACAAAACAUAAAGAAUAGAAUAUUUAUACACCCAUAUGUAAAGUUAUGGAUAUGCGACUAAUGUAUAUUGCUUCUAGAAUUCACAAAACAGGUGAUAGUGUGUGCAUAUAAAUAACAGACAAUUUACCUUGGAUAAACUAACAUUGUUAUCUUAGGAGAUCAAUUAGUUUUUGAAGUAAAUGUUGACAUUGUCACAUAAUAUAGCUAAAUUGUCAAUGUAGAUAGUUUGUUCAUGAAAAUUUAUAUAUAAAAUUUUGGUACUAAUGGAUCAUGAUAAUUUUAUUCUAUUUAAUAAAAUGGAUAGGGUUAUAUGCUGACCUAAACUUUGCAUCGUGUUUAUCAUGUAUGUGUGAUCUAUCGCAAGGAUACGUGGUACUUUGUGUCAUUUAUUGAACUCACGCAUGUCUAUUCGUGGAUUAUAUGAGAAGAAGACGUCUUUGUUCUGAUACCAUAAUGUAUUUGCCUUGCAUUAGUCAAGCCAAACGUUUAAGAGCCGUGAUCCCGCUCUGCUACUAAUCAAGAUUGAAACAAAGCUCCAUGGUGACCACAAACUAAAAUUUGAUAGUGUCAAUGAUGUUGUCCUAUAUGAGCAUGAUCAUGUCAAAUCUAUUGACCAUGUCCAUGGUCACGACAGCUGUAAAGACACCCAUCGAGGCAGCUGAUGCCGGUAGUCUUUGCUGGCCAUAAGUUCUGGUAUCGUAUACUUAAAAACUAGAAUGUUUCUUAAAUGAUCAGCACUGAUUCUUCCAUUGCAUCAGAAUCCUACAUUGAUUCGAUUGUAUGAUUGUACUUCAAUUCAAAAUUACAAGAUUGUGAUAGUCAUAUGUGUACUAUCGUCAGCAUUCGGUUUACAACUUGCAUAUAUAUAUAUAUAUAUAUAUAUAUAUAUAUAUAUAUAUAUAAUGAUCAAGGAGAUCAAGGAUAAAGCAAAUCUACGAAGUGCAACGGGCUAUGAGGAUAAACAAUAUUAUUUCAAAUAAUAUUGUAAUAGGCUUUUUUAUUUGAUUUUGCUUCAUGUUGUUGGGAGUUCGAAGCUACUUCUCCACCCACGUCAACCUCUUUGAGCAUGUCUUGCUCGGCAGCCUAACAUCAACAUUUGUUUAAGUAAGUCUCCCUCGACUAUACCUUUCUUUUCCAAGUCUUUGGGAAAGGGGAGGAACUUGCAUAGCAACUGUGCUAAUGGUUUUUCAUAUCAUUCAUUUUUAAAUUUUAAAAGAGAAUUAGUUACAAUUGGAAAUAAACUUUUUGUAUCUUCAUCUAUGGAUCAUUUACUCAUAUUUAAUCAAUCAAAAAACUUCAAUCCAAAAUUAUGCUUCACAACUCUGUACUCAAAAUCGAAUUUGUGUUUUUGGAUGCAAGUCAUUUAGUCUUUAGAUCCUAAUUGCAAGAAUUCUCUCACGCUAUUGAGACGAAAAGAAAGUACUAAUUGAGCUUAGCUGGUAAGAUUCCUUGUGGUUCCUUGUGGUAGAACCUACCCACACGAGUUUGAGUCCUCUGCUCAUUACGAGUGUUUGUAUUUUUUUAGAUUUAUUAUAUAAUUUAACCAGCGUUAUUCUUUUAAUGGUUAGCAUGGUUAGCGAUGUGACCGUCGACUUCGUUAAUCUUACCGGCUCCCUCUCGAAGGUGAUAAGGAUAAUAUUAUUAUGUACAUGUAUGCAUAGAGGUGAGCGAGCGUCACGGCUUCAAAAUUAGGUGUAUAUAUAGAUAACCGAAUAAUGCCGUAUGUGAAAAAAAUCCAUAAAAGCAAACGGUAGAGUUUGAAUACUUCCUUGAUCCAUACACAUUUAGCAACUCUCAAGUAGCUAAAGCAAAACUACAAUUGAUUCAACGAGGAGUUGUUUGAAAACUAGAGAUUAUACAUUCCAUCAACAAUAUGCAAGAAACCCCUCUCGAUAAAUGUAGUCAAUCAGUCAUUCAAUUGAUCUCGUGCUAUUUCUUAGCUUCUUCACAGAAUUCAUAACCAUAAAUGAUCUUUAAACUAGAGGACAACAAGAAUUGAAAUUCAGCAUGGGUGGUUCUCUCGCAGCUACGGUAGGAAGACUAAUGAUGCGAUGAUGGCUCUGUGCCCUUUUGUGGUUCUAUGCGCAUGCAGAUGGGGCUCCUAUGCAGUUGCGGCUCUGCAGUUCGGCUUACUGACAUGUGAUCCCAGAUCCACGCGUUAAGAACUCAAUUGCAGAAUAAUACUAAAACAGUACUUUAGAGGGUCCACUUUCGCACAUGCAUGCGUUAUCGAGCCAGCACCAGGUAGUCCAGCCCAACACAGAGGGUGAGCACUUUUUGAGCAGGCUAUUUCUUUUGUUUUAAGCUCAAAUGUACGCAAUAUGGCCCAAAUACGAAAAUACAUAUACAGAUGCAUGUUACUACUACUCCGUCCAUCCUAAAUAACAAAUCAUUAUACGAUUCCAAUAAUAUACGAUUCCAAAUAUAGCUAAUAAAUAAAUAGGGGCAAUUAAGAUCAUUUUACAUGUCCUAAAUUCUUUAAGGGCAAUCGAGAUCAUAUCCUAAAAUUCUUAGUCUUAGGUUAGACUUAUGUUUUAGGAUGGAGGGAGUAUAAUUUUUGAUCAAAAUUAUUGGAAGUACAUCCAUGUUCAUCAGCUGGGUCCACCCUUGUGUGCGUGAAUGUAUGUGACCGCUCGAGAUGACACGAAAAAAAGGGCUCUUGAACGCACGAUGUGCAACACAUUUCGUUGGACGACUAUAGCCUACAAAAUUUUAUCUUCGCAGCACAACCCGAACCAUUCGUAAACCUGGCUCUGGUUCAUACUUCUAUGCUGUGCUCAUACACCUUCAAGGCAUAAUCCUUGCCUGCAGCUGCAGAACUCCCUAAUCCUUCCACGGAUCGCUCUCGGUCCUCACUUCAGAGGGUUCAACCACCUCUGUCACGGCACCUUCAGAAGAAUCAACCUCAACGCUGGCUUCGCUAGAGGUAGCUUCAGCGUCCUCCGUAUCUGACCUUCCCCAUCUCCCACCAAGGGCCAUGGUCAUCAUCUCGUAGAUCUUGCCUCCCAACUCCGCUGGACUUUCAGGCUGGAUAAAAGAAGUAAAAGAUCACGUCUACGGUCAUAUUUAUCAUCCUAACAAGUACAUAGGUUUGUUGCACUUACAGUAUACCCGCUGGAGAUCAGGGCAGCCUCAUAUAACAACUCAACAGCCCUCUUGGCUUCAGUACUUUCGGGCUCAUUUUUGCAAGCAGCCUGUGAAAGUUUGUGAUAUACAAAUGAAUUUUACACAUUGAAGUAUGAAGCAUCACAAAAGAACAAACUAGGUAGUAAAAUUUUAACAGAGAAGACUGAAGGAAAAUCUUACUCUCAGAUCCCUGAUGAUAGGAUGGUCAGGAUUGAUUUCGAAAAUUCGUCUACCUCUCAUGAACUCUAAGCUUGACGUGUCGCCAAGUGUCUGUGCUUUCAUGAGCCUAUCAGAUUUAAGAAUCGCAUGUUAGGAAAACAAAGUUUUAGGGUAAUAUUCAGGUUGUAUGGGGAUCUCACCAAUAAAUUACCUUUCCAUAUUGGCUGACCAACCAAAUUUGCCAGAUACGAGAACACAUGGAGAAGAGCUGAGUCGCUUUGAGAUCUGGACCUUAGCAACUUUAUCACCAAGCUGCUGCUUUAUCCAGUCGCAUAGAAGAGUAUACUCCUGCUUGCUUUCUUUUUCCUUGUCCUCAUCGUCAUCACCUGUACCAGCCAAUAUGUAUCAGUUUGAGCACUGCCAAACCCAAAGAAUUCAUAUCAAGUCAUAUAGCAACUAAGGUUUUACUUACCUAAUUCCAAGUCCUCUUUGCUAAUAUCGACAAAUUUCUUCUCUUUGUAUGUCUGUAAAUUCUGAAUCGCAACCUCAUCAAUCGGCUCAAUGAGGUAAAGAACCUACAAAAGAAGAUCACUAUGAGCAAAACUGUAGCACAACAAGAGGAAAACGAUUAUCUGUUCAAUAACAAAGUUGUCCUCAUACCUCAAUAUCUUUCUGAACCAGCUUUUCCAAGAAAGGAGCAGUCUUUGCACUCUGGAGACUAUCGGUAGCAAUAUAAUAGAUUGCCUUCUGGGUUUCAGGCAUGUUUUCUACAUACUGAUCGAGACUUAUCAAAUCUGUCUCAUUUUUGGAAGAGUAGAACCGUAGCAAUGGUGCAAGACGCUUGUGAUUUCCAGUGUCCUCAAUGCAACCAAGCUUCAUGAACUUGCCAAAGCUCUCCCAGAAUUUUUUGUAGUCCUACAGCAUGAGUGACAGCAAGCUUCAACAUAAAUUAAAUAAUAUAACAGCUUUUUUUCUCGAAAAUAAUAAGUUAACAGCUGCAGAUGGAAAAGAAAAGGUUCACUCUUUGCUCAUACCUCUUUGUCAUCCUUCUCGGCGAUCUCUUCAAUCAUGUCAAAUGUCUUUCUAACGAGUCUCUUACGCAUAAUUCUGACCUGAAAUAUAGGGAGAAUAACCAUUAUAUUCAAACACCAACAUACCCUGCAUAUGCCAUGUUUAAUCAAAUACAUUAUAUGAGAGAUUUUUCCAGAACUUACUAUUCUACUUUCUUGAAGGAUUUCACGAGAAACAUUCAGAGGGAGAUCAUUUGAGUCAACUACACCUUUCACAAAGCUCAAGUACCUGGGAAACUGUAGAGAAUGAUACAUUCAGUAACCCAUUCAUGCCAACUGUAAGUUGUCUAAUAUGAUGGACAGCUAUAAUGAUACAUAAAGGAAACACACCAGCUCGCCAUCAAAGUCGUCUGAUAUGAAGACUCUUUUGACAUACAGUCGGAUGUUUUUGGUCUUUGGAUUCAUUAUCUCCUCAUUACUAAGGGGUGCCAUUCCUGGGACAUACAGGACACUUCGAAAUUCCACCUCACCCUGUUUAAUACACAGAUCAAGUUAACAUGUUUAAUGCACAUAAACAGAAGAAAAUGUAAAGUUUGAAACCGCCCACACCUCUGUGGUGAAGUGAGUGUAAGCAAGAGGAUCCAGGAACUCAUUAAAUGUCUUCUUGUAGAAUUCAUUGUACUCAGUUCUCUCAACUUCCUUUGGACUCCUCAUCUGCAUGGAAGAAAACAAACCAACUUCAGUCUCUCCAACAGCAAAUAGAAACCUAAAUCUGUGAAUGUACCCAUGGCGCAUAUUUUAAAUGAAUAUAUUAGGAAUAUUGAGCUUGUGGUAGGAAUAUUGAGAUUAUGGUAUCACAUAUGUUGGCAUCAGCUUACCCAUAUGGGCUUCGUCUCAUUAGCCAAUUCCCAGUCCCAGUACUUCUCAGUUAUAGUUUUCUUCUUUUUCUGCUUUUCACCCUGUAACAGAAGAGGAUACAUGUAAUACAACACUAACAGUGAGUGAAUUUGAAAUCAAAUAAAAUCAUAUGAGCACAGAACUAACCUCAGUAGCCUCUUCACCUUCUUUUGAUUCUUCCUCCUCUUCAACCUGUUCAGAUAAAGAAUGUAAGUGCAAAAAAGAUGGGAAAACUUCGACAAUAAUUGCAGCAGAAGCAAGCAUUAGAAUAAUCAUGUCAUUACCUCAACCGUUCUUGAUUUCUCCUGCCAUGUGUAUAUAGGGAACGAGACAAACUGCGAGUAGUUCUUAACUAGGCCUUGAAUUCUUGCAGGAUCAGCAAACUCGUACUUAUCAUCAUCCUGAUGUAACAAGACAGCAAUAAGAAUUCUGCUAGAGGAUGGAUAUCAUAUUGAACAAGUCUUAAGUUUUCUUACUCUCAAGUAAAGAGUAAUUUGUGUUCCACGUGUCAGCAUUUUCUCAGGAUUGGUUUCUUCCUUGAUAACAUAAGAGCUGCUGUCAGCCUCUGCCUCCCACACAUACUGCUUAUCUGCCUUUGGACUUUUAGUUGACACCACAACCUGCAAGGUGACAAAGAAUAUGCGGAAUUACUAACAAGAUCUAGAAAUGUUUUCAGCUUGCAAAGUGGCUGUAAGAAUAUUUGGAAAAACAGAUUUGGAAAGUGAUGCAGAUUCAUCAACCCAGCCAUAUGAUCCAGAUAUUCCAUACCUUUUCUGCAACAAGGAAAGCCGAAUAGAAUCCGACACCAAAUUGACCAAUAAGUCCAUUAUCUGCACCAAGAUCUUUGUUCUCCUGAACAAUACAGGGAAAAACAAAUUAUUAUCAACAAAGGAGAUGAUAAAAGUUGAUUAUGGAACACAAAACUGAUGUAGCUAGAUGGACAAAGAAGUGCACCUUUAAAGCCUUCAAAAAUUUUGAGGUGCCACUUUGCGCAAUGGUUCCAAGACAAUCUUUGAGUUCAUCUUUAGUCAUUCCAAUGCCAGUAUCUCUGUGAGAUUCACAAAACUAGUCUGAAUAACAAUUCAAUUACAUUUGAUGAUUAAUCUGGUGGUGGCUGCGGACUAAUGAACAACUCACGUGAUAGUGAUUGUCCCAGCAUCUUGGUCGGGUUUAAUCCUUAUCUCCAACUCACCACCAUCAGCCAAGACCGAGGGAUCGGUUACACUGAGGAACCUCAGCUUAUCCAAUGCGUCACUCGCAUUACUGGAUGACAACAUAAAUUUUGUUGAGAUCAGAUGAUCAGGAGGUGUGGAAAUGCAGUUUGUGAACAGCAAUUCAUCCUUGGUCAUAAUAACAGGUCAAUUGAAUUCUACAUGUCGAGAAGAUGACUAACCUUACAAGUUCACGGAGAAAUACUUCCUUGUGGCUGUACAGACUGUGCACAAUUAAGUCCAUCAAGCGGCUAACCUGCAGUGCAAAGAGAACCGCCACAUAAAUACCCAAGCAUUCAAUUGCAAAUUCUACAAAGUCAAGCAGAAUUUCAAUUGCAAAUUCUACAAAGUAAAGCAGAAUUUGACGACAGGGUUAUCUUCAAUGUCACGAAAGGCGAAUUUAGCCAUAACAAAAUGCAAGAGCAUGCUGCAUACAUCCCACAGUGACAAUUCAGGCACUCCCAAUCCCAAAUUCCACCAAACCGGCACAAUUUCCAGAACACAAACCUCAGCCUGGUACUCGAACUUCUCGCCGGCCGUCUCCUCCUCAGUGGGCUUCUCGGCGACGGCGGCGUCGCACCCUACCCGGACAAUCCUCCGCCUCCCGGCUUCCCAUCUCACCCCUCUCGCCGCGGCGGCCCUACCCUGCGGCACGAGCGCCGCCCGCGGCAGGAGCCGGAACGACGGGCUCGGCCGCAGCGCCGCCACCGACGACGCCCCGAGGCUCCUGAUCAGAACCGGCGCCAUGAGGUAGAGAUGGAGACCAAGGCCUCGCGGCUUGUUCCUGCGCGCGUGUGGUGGUCCGGUGUGACGCUUGGGAAGUGACGAAUGGAUAAGAGCUAGGGUUUAUACGGAGAGACGGGGAGAGGUGCGCAGGAAUGAUGGGUGCUGGGUUUAAGAGGCAGGGGAGACUGCCGGAGGGCGAGGAAGGAGACGAGGCGAGGCGGGGAGCCCGGAGGCUUCUAGAAUCGCGUAGGGCGCACGGGGGUGGCGUGUGGUGGGGCCGUUGCGGGCGCGCGGAUGGCACGGUUGUGGUUGCGCACGGGGCUGCGGCGGGGGCGCCGUCGGAUGAGGCGCCUCGACGGCGGGAUGGCACGGUUGUGGGCCGAAUACUGACUGGGCCCAUGACGUCACACGGCUUUUGGGCUCUACGCGAGUUGCAGCCCGAUAACAGUGAGGUGCCCACCGGCAUUGGGAGCCCAUCCAGCAGCCCGGCAAGACACUUUUCUUCUUUCUCGAGAUGGCCCAGGCUCAAAAAACACCUGCCAGAUCCGCACAUUUCCACUGACCUGGCCCAGGCCGCUCGCACGGCCGAAGCCUUCGGCGCGCCAAUAGGCCAGUAGGUGCUUCUUCACUCACACGGCCUCAACAACAUGCAGCCUGUUCGGUAGUGCUGGCUGCACAGCUGCAGCGCUGCUGCUGCUAACGUAACGGGCCGAUGGUCGCGAACCCGUGUCCCCGUACGCCGCCGGGUGCCGACACAGGUGCUGCCGCACUCCCGCCCGCCGUGUAGAGGUCGUGUGCUGCCUGCGUCCCGUCAAAUGAAACAGAAAGAAUGAGAGAGAAAGAAAGAAACGGCCGCGCGCGGCGCGCGCAGCACGCCCUCGACUCGACUCCUCCCACCCCGUUCCGCCGCGCCGCCGCAGAACCGGACUCGCCCCCGACCUGCCGGCUGCCACGUGAGCACCGCCGCCGGACAACGGACGCGAACGGUCAGGCUUCACAGUUCACACGUCCCAGCCGCCGUUCUUUGCCUGCCUAGCGCCCUAGCCCCACGUCCUCUUCCUUUCAGGCUCCAGCGGUCGCCGACCGUUCCUGACAACGAACGAGACCGUGCGCGCAUCAUGGGGGAAUGCACUCACGUGCUCCGGACGGGAUUGCCUGGCGCUCAAGUACAUUUGGAGCCGGACUCCGAGCGACACGAACAGAGGACAAGCUCAGAAGCAGGCCAGCACACAACGGUGGCCUGGCCACUUGUGAUUGUAUUGUACGUUCAUGCCGGCGCCUCUCAAACCCUCCGCACGAUUAUUUCAAAAAAAAAAACUCCGCACGAUAAUUCCAGCUGCCGCGCCCGCCCGUGCGGCUCUGAGUCAAAGAUCUGAGACGCCAGAGCUGAGUCAGGCGUUGGAGUCUGGAGCAGCAGCUAGCGCCGAGCCACUGUCAUGUGGGUCCCGUCUAACGACCGGCCCCAUGUUCAGCGUCUCGGGCUGGGAGACCAUGCACCGUCGGGGAACUAACCCUUGCCUGAUCUCUCGCGCCCAUUUUUAAUCCGGCCAGCACGACGCAGUUGGCUCCAGAUCUUUGACCGGCCGGGGGGAGCGCUGAGGCUGAGCUGAGAUCAAAACAAAACAAGCAUUAGGCCCUAAAAGAUUACUGCUUACUAGGGCCACGAAUCUUGACUGUCACGUAACGUGGCCUCACACCACUUGGGUAACCUCAAACUAAACCUCCCCGAUCAGCUUUAAUAAUCCAUCUCUCACUCUGUCGACUCACUCGCCACUUGGACGGUUGGACCUCCAGAUCAGUCACGCUGCAACCUGCAAGGGGUGGCCCAGCCUCGGUCGAACCAAUGGCGCGGCGCCACGUCGAAACGGACACGGACGUAAAUAAAGUGGCCGUUUUUGUUUAACUCCGUGUCGUGCAAGCAAUUAAGCGCAGAUCUUGGUGUUGAUUAGCGCCCGCCCGCAGCACAGUGCCGGAUCUGUGAAGGAAUCCGAGACCGUAGCUAGUGAUCUCCCUGCACGCGCCCAAAAAAAAAAAGUACCAAGUACUAUAAAGACAACAGGGGUGGAUCUCACGCGACGUAACUGCCGAUGUUCACUGCUCCCCAUGGACGCGAGGUUCGUCGAUCCGAAGACACCGCAGGACGACGCGUUCGGAUCGGCAGGCGCCUCAAUGCAAGGGAAAUUGGAGCCCGGGACGGUCGGCCCGAGUGGCCGGCCGCGGCCGGUGCGCCGUGCGAGCACCGGAGCCGCCCGGAGAUCGGUUGAAUUGGGCUGGCCAGGGGCCAGCCGAUCGAACAGCUCCCGGCCUCAGGUUUUGACAUCCUCCAUGUGCAGUCCAACCAGCGCGCGAGGACCACCGCAUCGGUGAGCGGGCGCGAGACAAGCCGGGGAUUAAGAAAAAAAACGGGAAAGGCGCACGACGCGACCAGGGACAGUUUGGUUUUCUAGAGGGGGCGUGUCAGGCGGCGAUUUGAAUACGCAGCGCCUCGCUUUGACUAGCGUUGGAGUCUCAGCUCUUGAGUUGAGAUCACUGUGGGUUCAGUUCAGUUCAAGUUCCUCUGCAGCUGCGAGCCACUGGCUCCUGACUCCUUAUAAAACCCUGCACCUGCCACCUAAACCUCUCCUUUCCUUUGAUUCUGGUUCUGAAUCAGCAGCUCCGUGCAAGUUGUAGAGCUGCCGAACAAGGGGGGUGGUGUGUGUGGCAAGAUGAGGUGCGCAGCUGUUCUUCUGGCGCUUCUGCUCUCCCUGUCUGCGCUAUCUGCCUCCACUGCUGAAGCACACGAGGUUAGUAAGUACAGUUUUGCAGGUACCUUCAGUUCAUAUGGAAGUCGUACACUUUGGUGUAGUGUUAGUGUAUUGAUAGUGGUAAAUGGUAAUCUACUGCUCGCUGUAAAUUUCUGAAAUUGUUUUCAUGAAAAAUGCAGGAACGAUUGGACGACGAUGCGGUAUUGUUAAGCGGUCGGAGAUGGUUGAGAGGAAGGAGAAUAAUCGCAGCUACUGGGCAUGGAGAUGCUGGCAAGAAAGAUGAGGUGGUGGAAGGAAAGGGAGCCAAGAGCACAGGUGCAAACGCUGUCCCUGUCCAUGAAGAGGAGAAAACUGUAGAGGUUACCGUUGUCGGGUUGAGUGGUGAGAGUCCUGGGCGUGGGAGCGGCGGCAAGCACAGAUUUGCCGGCCUCGUGCCGUUCAGUGCCGAUUACCGCACUCCGAGAACUCACCCACCAAGGAAUAACUGAAAGUAAAGCAGGCAAAUACCUCUCCUUGGUUUUCUAGCCUCUGAUAAGCGAUAUCUUCCGACUAAUCACCUAGAGUAGUUUUCUAGCACUGCUCAUUGCGUAGUCAAGUGUACCUGCAGCUUUUUUGAAUGCAAAUCACCAGUAGGUAUAGACGUAUAGCAUGAACGUUUGAGGAUUGAGCAAUGGUCUGAAACGCACCAUUUCUGUUGUUGCAGGAGCAGAUCAAGAAGCAGACGCACCUGCUGAAGCUGUACAUGAUUCGGUAAGUGCAUUGGUCUAUCAAUUCAGCGUCUCAUAUGCCUUUCUGCGGCACACAUUUGCUUACCAGUUACCACUGCCUGCUGUGUUUGCUUAUAUUCCUGCAAUCUGCUUUCAGGGUAAAAGGAGCAAGGGAUCAGCAACUCAUGCCAUGUUUCAAGCACCAAGGCAAGGAGAUACGGCCGCAGUGAUCCCCGAGGUCCUCGGCAUGGAUUACAACUACAAGCUGGAUGCCCGUCACCACCGACCCAUCAACAACGACGCUCCGCUGGAGGAUAUUGCCAAGAAGCCCUAGGUAUUGUGAAUAUCCUGGAGCAUGAGAGAAGCUGGGUCCUCUUGCUUUACAGAUACAUCUAACCACAAUAGCCAUUAGCUAAUGGUUAGCUUAGCUAGUUAGGAACUCGCUCUCCAAGCCACGUGUAGCCCGUUCUUGGCACUCAUGGAACAAUCUGAGGUCACUGGAAUGGUCAGUUUUGGUUGUAAUGUGCUUGUAUGGAGAGCAUCUGUAAUUUCUCACCAGCAUUUCUGAAGUUGCAGACAAUAGAGACUGAUGCUGAUCCUUCAGGUAAUCACUAAUCAGGUUGCAGCAUGUGUGCAAACAGCCAUGAAGUCAUGAAAUUCUGUCCUGUGACGGGAGUUGUUUCGGCCCUCUUGGGCCGAUGAAAACAUUAAACAUGUCAUGCUUCGGCCCAUUACCUGUAAGAUGGCCUAGGUUGGGGUUUGUGCUUCGGCCCAUAAAGAACACUGCCAGCCUGUUGUUUGUAAUGUUGGUGAUGAACACCGCCAGACUUAUCUCUGAUGUAGAAAUCCUCCAGAACUUAAGCACCCUAAAAGUUAUCGCAAAGUUGAGGUAACAAUGCGUUAGAAAACAAAGGAAUCUUAUAUUAUUACUCUGGAAACUUUUCAAUUAGAAUCAAACAAAUUCAUUUGAAGGUUGUAAAUUCUGCCAGGUAUAUAAACAGUUUGAAGAGUAGUUUGUUACAGCAAUAAGUUAUAAAGCUAGUCAAACGAAUAAAGUUCUCAAGAAAUCUCGUAUCCAUUUUAUGAUGUUCACAACUUCAUAAUUUUAUCAGCAGGUUUGUAUGCAGCAACUGUUUCAGAUUACAAUUGCAGCUGCGCACAAAGUGCUACUUCUUCUGAGAGCAGAGUUACAAGGCAGAAACACUGAAACAGCUACCAGAUCUUCUGGUGCUACCAACCAGUCACAAUCCCAGAGUUUUUUAAUAAAGGGAAAAAAGGCUAUGACAUUUAUCUGUAAAACAAGAUAAUAUCCAAAGGGCAGGUACUUAUUAAUUUUAGAAAAUGGCUGUGACAAUCCGGGGUUAAAAAACCAUGUGUUUCUGAAGAGUGAUGGCCUGAUGGGUAGCAUUUCAGUUAUAACACUGAAUUUCGGCACCCCAUUCAAAUGAUGUUCAUCAGCAGCUAGUACUUAAAAGAUCGGUUCAUAUACUUUGGUUCAGCUAAUAAACCAGCAGUGCCAUAGGAAAGACCAGAGUUAUUUCUUCAAAAAAAAAAAAUCUGAGUUACAUUCCAUCAUCCUCAACAUCUCCGAUCACACUUCCAGAUAUCUCGUCAGCCGGGAGAGAAGAUUUGGCAUCACCGCGGACUACGUCAAGGCGAUCCGCUCUCGCCCAUGCUGUUCAUAUUGGUGAUGGACGUGCUAAAUAGGCUGUUUGGAGCUGCCAGUGAGCAGGAGCUGCUCCAGCCGAUGGGACACCCUGCAGUCAAGUAUCAGUGCAGCAUGUACGCGGAUGACGUGAUCCUCUUCGCCUCGCCCACGGUACAGGAGGCCCAAACAAUUGCCAGAGUCAUAUCCAUCUUCGGCAGAGCCUCAGGGCUGGUAACAAAUCUGUCCAAAUGCUCCAUCACACCAAUCUUCGGAGUAGAGGGAAUGCUGCCAGCAAUACAAGCAGUCCUACCAUGCCAAAUCAGCCAAUUCCCAAUCACUUACCUGGGAGCACCGCUAUCAACCACUGCCAUUCCCAAGGGACAGAUAAGGCCGCUGGUGGAGAAGAUUGCCAAGAGAUUGCCAACUUGGAAAGGACCGCUCAUGCCAAAGAGUGGACGGCUUACACUCACCAAAUCGGUACUCUCUACGGUGCCGAUCUACUUGCUCAUGGCCGACCAAUUGCCAGCUUGGGCGAUUGAGGAGAGCGAUAGGAUACGACGGAAGUUCUUCUGGGCCGGCCAAGAUGUAUCGGUGCGGGGCAAAUGCCUAGUGGCAUGGACCACUGUUUGCCUUCCGACAACACAGGGAGGACUUGGGGUUCUGGAUCUCAAGCUGGCAGGCUACGUGCUGCGGACACGCUGGUUAUGGCUGCAACGUACUGACCCGGACAGAGCUUGGGCUGCACUGCAAUUCAAAAUUGAGCCGGAAGUCAAAGCACUCUUUGAAGCAUCCGUAACAGUCCAUGUGGGAAACGGAGAACGCACGCUGUUCUGGACAGACAACUGGAUGAAUGGCCAGUCUGUAUGUGAUAUGGCGCCGACGCUGACGGCACUUGUGCGGCCGAACAUCAAGAAAAGGAGAACAGUGGCGCAGGCGAUGGCGAACAGACAGUGGGUGCGCGACAUAACGGGCGGACUGUCGUAGAAGCUUUGGUCGAGUGCCUGCAUCUGUGGGACACAUUGGAAGCAGUUCAGCUGCACACGGAGCAGGAAGAUGCAGUUCGAUGGCGGUGGACAGCUGACGGCCAAUACACAGCCAAAUCAGCGUAUCAGAUGCUCCACAAGGGGCGAACAAGUCUACAAGGAGCAGAACUCAUAUGGAAGACCUGGGCGCCGUUGCGUGUGAAGCUGUUCCUCUGGCUAGCAUGUCGACGGCGCAUCUUAACGGCAGACAGGAGGAGGCGACGGGGACUGGAGGCGCACGACACCUGCUUCAUGUGUGACCAAUCCAACGAAACAGCAGACCACCUGCUGGUCUCCUGUUCAGUGGCAAAGGAGGUAUGGUGGCUCGCGUUCUCCUGGGCACAGUGCCAAUGCAGCUUCACAGGACCAGAGAUGACGAUCCAAGACUGGUGGGAGCAUCCAGGACCGAAGUGCCUGCCGUGCGGCGCGCUGUAAAACUUUAAACCCAUCUGUGCAGAUCUCCUACGUAUUCGAGAAAAAAUGUGCAGUAAAUAUAUUAGGACGCACAAAAUUUUUUUGGCAAAGUUCAUCAAAUUUGAAUUUUGUAUCUUGCGCAUCAGAGCAGCUACCCGAUGUUGUUCGCCAGUCCGUGGCGUCUCGCCGGUCUCCGCACAGUCCACGCCAACAUGCAUCCGCUCGACCGCUCAGCAGGAAACAAACAGGUUCUCCUAGCGAGUACCAAGGCCAGCCCCAAGCCCCCAACUAGAGCUGCCGGCUGCGGGUCCUGCGGCGAUGCUUCCGAAUCUUUGGACUGCUCGCCUAGUCGCCUGCCCGCCCAAUGGCAGCCAUAGCGAACCGGACCACGCGAGCUUUUGCACUUUGGGUCCCAUGCCGCCGCCGGGAUAAGGCUGCGUGACAGCCAGGCCAAUGAUAGCUGCGGCCGGUCUCACUCUCUCUCCCUCGCUGUCACUCAAGCCGCUCCCUGCUCAGCGUCGCGGCGGAGCGGCGUACGCGUCCGUCCAUCCAUCGGCCCAUCGGCAAGCGACGGCGACGGGGCGGGACACCUGUCGCCGUUGGGUUCGGCAGAUGGCGCCGCCGGCGAUGGACGUCGUCUUCCUCCCACCAGACCGGACUGACCGGUUACUCUUCUCUUGAUCGGCGGCGACUCAUAGUUUCAUCCCAUCUCUGCCGUGUGGAAAAAGUGCAUGCGCUUUGUCUGGCCCUGAGGCGGACUGGCCACCUAACCUGACGGGAAUAAAAGGGUUAAGAGGUCACUUAUGUUAUGGAUAACAACAACACCACCGGUGACGGAGACGAGACACGCAACGACACCCCCCGGAGCCCACAGUCCGCAGGCAUGCUGCUGGCGAAAUCAGGAACAGCAACAGCCCCGGACUCAACUCCUCCAGGCGCUGACGUCGCAGCAGGAAACUGAGUCAAAAUAUUGGCUCUUUUCGCGACAAGAUAUUACAGGAUAUUAUUGCACGAAAAAAAUUAUCCCAACUAGCAGUCAAAACAAUGCGUGCUAAUAAACCAUAUCUGGAGGUGAGAUCGACAUGGAAGGAACGGAUGAGCCCCCACACCGAUGCAAUCAACCAAUCAUGCAAACCACGAAGUACGCGCGGCACAUGGGAUUGGAAAGAUCUGUGGGCAUUCUUUGACGCUUUCUGAAGCAAGUUCCAGAUCGUUCCUUCCAAGUACAAGGCUAUCAGCGUUGGUAUUUUUUUAACACGUCCAGCACACAAGCUCCAAAGCAGAGGAACAAACAUACAGUACAGCCAGAAAACUACAGAUAGAGACAGCAGGUGGUAUUUAUGCAUAUAUCUAUAGCGAUAUCAUAGUUCAUAUCAAGGUAAGCGUCUUCCAAAAUGGUACAGCGGCAAAGCCGAAACGCAAGGCGAUGCCAGCACACUCACCACCAUCAGGUAACGGCCGAGAUCGAGCCCCGGUGUUGCGAGGUAGGAGUACUAUAUACAUACAAAGAAGAAAAGAACAACGCAUCCCAUAUGUCAAACACUAUGCACAAAACACACCAUUCUCCUGGCAAAGAUCAUCUCAUGUAAGGACGGUCUUAUUCUCGAACCACCUCUACCG